GCUUUAGCCUUAGGUGGGGGAGUUUUCCAUUUCCCUUUCAGCUUAUAUUAAAUUACUUUCCUUUCUUGUCAUAGGCAUAAUCCUUUGAUGGGAAAACCUUGACGGCCUUUCAGAAGAGGAAGAAAGCCCUCCUCUGCAGAGUCACCAGGGACUGGCUAUUACUAAUUGAUUCUACAUGGAGAACACACAGUGGUGACAGCCAUCAGUCUGAAACAAGCUUGCAGACUCCCAGGAAUUGUUUACCUUUCCACAGGGAAUGGAUGCAGGCCUCUGUCCCUUGUGCCCUGGCCUAUAUGGAAGGAUGAUCUGGUGAGCACAGCCACAAUGAACCUAUAGAGACUCUGAGCCCCAACCCAGCCACACACUGCCUCUUCCCAAUGGGCUGGUAUGGCUUCCACUGAUCUCAGCUACUGAGAGUUCUUGUUCUCUUUUAGCAGCAACAAAAAAAUAAAUGUAGAAAGCAUUCACA
This 469-nucleotide long non-coding RNA is filed under the name Cyanistes caeruleus (blue tit). RNAcentral's name for it is "lncRNA (ENSCCEG00000011620.1)". The record is from RNAcentral. Lineage: Eukaryota; Metazoa; Chordata; Aves; Passeriformes; Paridae.